RNAcentral lists this ribosomal RNA (402 nucleotides) under uncultured bacterium. Its description in RNAcentral is "bacterial SSU rRNA". It matches the Rfam family "Bacterial small subunit ribosomal RNA", at positions 355 to 773 of the family's 1533-position model. The record is from RNAcentral.
UAGGGAAUUUUCCGCAAUGGGCGCAAGCCUGACGGAGCAACGCCGCGUGCAGGAGGAAGGCCUUCGGGUUGUAAACUGCUUUUGUCUGUGACGAUUAUGACGGUAGCAGAAGAAUAAGGAUCGGCUAAUUCCGUGCCAGCAGCCGCGGUCAUACGGAAGAUCCGAGCGUUAUCCGGAAUUACUGGGCGUAAAGAGUUGCGUAGGUGGCAGGUAAAGCGAGCAGUGAAAGAUCCCGGCUCAACCGGGGGCGCAUUGUUCGAACUCACCAGCUAGAGCAUGAGAGAGGUAGAUGGAAUUUCUAGUGUAGGAGUGAAAUCCGUAGAUAUUAGAAGGAACACCGAUGGCGUAGGCAGUCUACUGGCUCAUUGCUGACACUAAGGCACGAAAGCGUGGGGAGCGAAC